UUAAGUUAGAAAGGGCGCACGGUGGAUGCCUUGACACUAGGAGUCGAUGAAGGACGGGACUAACGCCGAUAUGCUUCGGGGAGCUGUAAGUAAGCUUUGAUCCGAAGAUUUCCGAAUGGGGAAACCCACCAUACGUAAUGGUAUGGUAUCCUUAUCUGAAUACAUAGGGUAAGGAAGACAGACCCAGGGAACUGAAACAUCUAAGUACCUGGAGGAAGAGAAAGCAAAUGCGAUUUCCUGAGUAGCGGCGAGCGAAACGGAACAUAGCCCAAACCAAGAGGCUUGCCUCUUGGGGUUGUAGGACAUUCUAUACGGAGUUACAAAGGAACGAGGUAGACGAAGCGACCUGGAAAGGUCCGUCGUAGAGGGUAACAACCCCGUAGUCGAAACUUCGUUCUCUCUUGAAUGUAUCCUGAGUACGGCGGAACACGUGAAAUUCCGUCGGAAUCUGGGAGGACCAUCUCCCAAGGCUAAAUACUCCCUAGUGAUCGAUAGUGAACCAGUACCGUGAGGGAAAGGUGAAAAGCACCCCGGAAGGGGAGUGAAAGAGAUCCUGAAACCGUGUGCCUACAAAUAGUCAGAGCCCGUUAACGGGUGAUGGCGUGCCUUUUGUAGAAUGAACCGGCGAGUUACGAUCCCGUGCGAGGUUAAGCUGAAGAGACGGAGCCGCAGCGAAAGCGAGUCUGAAUAGGGCGUUUAGUACGUGGUCGUAGACCCGAAACCAGGUGAUCUACCCAUGUCCAGGGUGAAGUUCAGGUAACACUGAAUGGAGGCCCGAACCCACGCACGUUGAAAAGUGCGGGGAUGAGGUGUGGGUAGCGGAGAAAUUCCAAUCGAACCUGGAGAUAGCUGGUUCUCCCCGAAAUAGCUUUAGGGCUAGCCUUAAGUGUAAGAGUCUUGGAGGUAGAGCACUGAUUGGACUAGGGGUCCUCAUCGGAUUACCGAAUUCAGUCAAACUCCGAAUGCCAAUGACUUAUCCUUAGGAGUCAGACUGCGAGUGAUAAGAUCCGUAGUCAAAAGGGAAACAGCCCAGACCGCCAGCUAAGGUCCCAAAGUGUGUAUUAAGUGGAAAAGGAUGUGGAGUUGCUUAGACAACUAGGAUGUUGGCUUAGAAGCAGCCACCAUUUAAAGAGUGCGUAAUAGCUCACUAGUCGAGUGACUCUGCGCCGAAAAUGUACCGGGGCUAAAUACACCACCGAAGCUGCGGAUUGAUACCAAUGGUAUCAGUGGUAGGGGAGCGUUCUAAGGACAGUGAAGUCAGACCGGAAGGACUGGUGGAGUGCUUAGAAGUGAGAAUGCCGGUAUGAGUAGCGAAAGACGGGUGAGAAUCCCGUCCACCGAAUGCCUAAGGUUUCCUGAGGAAGGCUCGUCCGCUCAGGGUUAGUCAGGACCUAAGCCGAGGCCGACAGGCGUAGGCGAUGGACAACAGGUUGAUAUUCCUGUACCACCUCUUUAUCGUUUGAGCAAUGGAGGGACGCAGAAGGAUAGAAGAAGCGUGCGAUUGGUUGUGCACGUCCAAGCAGUUAGGCUGAUAAGUAGGCAAAUCCGCUUAUCGUAAAGGCUGAGCUGUGAUGGGGAAGCUCCUUAUGGAGCGAAGUCUUUGAUUCCCCGCUGCCAAGAAAAGCUUCUAGCGAGAUAAAAGGUGCCUGUACCGCAAACCGACACAGGUAGGCGAGGAGAGAAUCCUAAGGUGUGCGAGAGAACUCUGGUUAAGGAACUCGGCAAAAUGACCCCGUAACUUCGGGAGAAGGGGUGCUUUCUUAACGGAAAGCCGCAGUGAAUAGGCCCAAGCGACUGUUUAGCAAAAACACAGCUCUCUGCGAAGCCGUAAGGCGAAGUAUAGGGGGUGACACCUGCCCGGUGCUGGAAGGUUAAGGAGAGGGGUUAGCGUAAGCGAAGCUCUGAACUGAAGCCCCAGUAAACGGCGGCCGUAACUAUAACGGUCCUAAGGUAGCGAAAUUCCUUGUCGGGUAAGUUCCGACCCGCACGAAAGGUGUAACGAUUUGGGCACUGUCUCAACCAGAGACUCGGUGAAAUUAUAGUACCUGUGAAGAUGCAGGUUACCCGCGACAGGACGGAAAGACCCCGUGGAGCUUUACUGUAGCCUGAUAUUGAAUUUUGGUACAGUUUGUACAGGAUAGGCGGGAGCCAUUGAAACCGGAGCGCUAGCUUCGGUGGAGGCGCUGGUGGGAUACCGCCCUGACUGUAUUGAAAUUCUAACCUACGGGUCUUAUCGACCCGGGAGACAGUGUCAGGUGGGCAGUUUGACUGGGGCGGUCGCCUCCUAAAGUGUAACGGAGGCGCCCAAAGGUUCCCUCAGAAUGGUUGGAAAUCAUUCGUAGAGUGCAAAGGCAUAAGGGAGCUUGACUGCGAGACCUACAAGUCGAGCAGGGACGAAAGUCGGGCUUAGUGAUCCGGUGGUUCCGCAUGGAAGGGCCAUCGCUCAACGGAUAAAAGCUACCCCGGGGAUAACAGGCUUAUCUCCCCCAAGAGUCCACAUCGACGGGGAGGUUUGGCACCUCGAUGUCGGCUCAUCGCAUCCUGGGGCUGUAGUCGGUCCCAAGGGUUGGGCUGUUCGCCCAUUAAAGCGGUACGCGAGCUGGGUUCAGAACGUCGUGAGACAGUUCGGUCCCUAUCCGUCGUGGGCGUAGGAAAUUUGAGAGGAGCUGUCCUUAGUACGAGAGGACCGGGAUGGACGCACCGCUGGUGUACCAGUUGUUCUGCCAAGGGCAUAGCUGGGUAGCUAUGUGCGGAAGGGAUAAGUGCUGAAAGCAUCUAAGCAUGAAGCCCCCCUCAAGAUGAGAUUUCCCAUAGCGUAAGCUAGUAAGAUCCCUGAAAGAUGAUCAGGUUGAUAGGUUCGAGGUGGAAGCAUGGUGACAUGUGGAGCUGACGAAUACUAAUAGAUCGAGGACUUAACCAU
RNAcentral lists this ribosomal RNA (2920 nucleotides) under Bacillus cereus VD045. Its description in RNAcentral is "bacterial LSU rRNA". It matches the Rfam family "Bacterial large subunit ribosomal RNA". Lineage: Bacteria; Bacillati; Bacillota; Bacilli; Caryophanales; Bacillaceae. The record is from RNAcentral.